This 253-nucleotide ribosomal RNA is filed under the name uncultured bacterium. RNAcentral describes it as "partial 16S ribosomal RNA". It matches the Rfam family "Bacterial small subunit ribosomal RNA", at positions 524 to 776 of the family's 1533-position model. The record is from RNAcentral.
UACGUAGGAGGCAAGCGUUGUCCGGAUUUACUGGGCGUAAAGCGCGCGCAGGCGGCAGUGCAAGUAAGGUGUGAAAUCUCCCUGCUCAACGGGGAGGGUGCAUUUUAGACUGCACAUCUAGAGGUCGGUAGAGGGGGGUGGAAUUGCUGGUGUAGCGGUGAAAUGCGUAGAGAUCAGCAGGAACACCCGUGGCGAAGGCGGCCCCCUGGGCCGUACCUGACGCUGAGGCGCGAAGGCUAGGGGAGCGAACGGG